CACCGACACCACACCAUGGAUCACACAGCGGAAGACACGAGCUAGGACCAGAGCUAGAACCUCUCCGCAGCCCCUCCCAGUCUUGGAGAUCUCGACCCAGAACCGCUUCUCCCCUCUUGGUUCCCGAGAUCCUGAACGGUGAUGAGCGCGUCAGAGCUGUUGUGUUGAAUGUGGGAGCGAACAACAUUAGGCUGAGGUUCUGAAGAAGGACUACAGGAGCCUGAUUGAGAUGUUUGUCGGAGCUGCUGUACUGCACGUGGGAGUGAAC
Long non-coding RNA from Pimephales promelas (fathead minnow), 268 nucleotides. RefSeq lists it as uncharacterized. The record is from RefSeq and is a predicted model, not a curated record. Lineage: Eukaryota; Metazoa; Chordata; Actinopteri; Cypriniformes; Leuciscidae.